This is an RNA transcript of Harpegnathos saltator (Jerdon's jumping ant), 1678 nucleotides long. It is a transcript of the gene named non-structural maintenance of chromosomes element 3 homolog, with no coding region annotated. The transcript is spliced from 8 exons. NCBI's taxonomy places the organism in Eukaryota, Metazoa, Arthropoda, Insecta, Hymenoptera, Formicidae. The record is from RefSeq and is a predicted model, not a curated record.
ACAUUUAUACAUAGAAGCGCUGUUUCGUAUUCUUGCCGCAUGAGGUCACUAAAGUCAGUUUACGGUUUGCUCUUGGCUGUUGUAGAUUCUUAACCUCGCUUAUUUACUCAUAGGAGAAAAGAGUAGCAUUGAAUUACAUUAUUUAACUAAUCAGACAGUUUUUCUUAAUAUUUCUGUCUAUUAUCUAGGAUUGUAGUGCCGGAUUAAAGAGCGGGAGUAAUUCUUGCCAGUCUUCUCUUAUUAUUUAAAUAGAAUUCCUUCUGUUUAUUUCACAAAACCACGUGAGAAACUCAGCCACAAAGUGACAUUCGUCUAGCUUUACACCUAUCAAAAAAUGAAUAGAGCUAAGAGGAAGUUAUCUCAGACUGUUGAAAACACAAGAAAGAAGAAUGUGGACACCUUUCCAUUUCACAGUCAACCUGGUCCAAGCAGACAAAUUGUAGAUAUAUCACAACUUGACGAUGAAGAUAUCAUACAUAAAAAACAGUCACAUAGUUCAAGAGACAUAUCGACACAGAAAAUACAGGAGGAAGAAGACAUGCAAAUAAUUAGUAGAGUAAUAAAAUAUCUACUCAUGGCAAAUGGAACAAAACAUCCAAUACCAAAGACCCAUAUUAUUAAACACAUACUGGGUAGUACAUACUCUAAGAAAUAUCUUCAAAUCAUGAAAGAAGUAGAGUCACAAUUAUCCAAGAUAUUUGGAUACAAAUUGCUGCUGGUUGAAGAAAAUAAAUAUAUAAUGGUGAAUGAGAUAAGCAAUCAUCUUCCACAUCUCAAUUUCAAAAAAAGCACACAAAUUUUGUUGUUUCUUAUACUUGUACAUAUUUUCAUGUUUGGUGAAUCUUCGAAAGAAGAGAUAUUGUGGGACUUUCUUCGCAAUCUAGGCAUCAUAACUCGCGACAACUAUAUACACGAGUACUUUGGUGAUGUUAAGCAGUUGGUGACAGUUGACUUUGUAAACCAGAGGUAUCUACAGAAAGUAAUGAUAGAUAAAAAUGAUUCGACAAAGAUCGAGUACAAGUGGGGUUGUCGUGCACUGAAUGAGGUCACAUACCGUUCUGCUUUGGAGUUUGUUGCAAAUAUAUAUGAUGUAUCUUCUGUGGACAAGUGGAAGUUGCAGUACAAAGCUGUGAUGGAUCAAGAACAAAAAACAAAAGUACGACAAUCAUAAAAGACUGCCAGCAUUCGAAGAACAUCGCGUAUAAUAUUAUUCCAGUGAACGUGAAUCUCUGAGAAUCCUAUUCGGCCGGCGAGUAGUCAAAUUUCCCCCGGACGGAGUUACUGGGCCACGUCCGUACAUUUACCUCAGCUUUUACGCCCUUAUGCAAGCAACGGCGAGAAGCAGCACAGGGAGGAGGGUGAUUGCGUGCGCGACCCUUCAUGUUCGCGCGUCUCACCGCGCCGCACCGCCGAACGGAAUCUGUGUCGCGCCAGGUCGGUCGCGGUCGCCUGGAUCGGCGGCGCGCCACUCCUGUCAGUGUCCACCCAGCCUCGCUGCUCGGCGGCCGCCGAGCGCCGCUCGCUCGCCUACGCGUGUCUGCCUCGUAGGUCGUCGUCGUCGUCGUCGUCGUCAUCGUUGCCGUCGUCACUACCACCACUACUACCAUCAUCACCACCAACACUACCACCGUCAUCGUCGCGUCGCCACGCGACGCGUCGCGAUUCUCAUCGCGGCGAA